AAUGGGUCAGCGACUUAUAUUCUGUAGCAAGGUUAACCGAAUAGGGGAGCCGAAGGGAAACCGAGUCUUAACUGGGCGUUAAGUUGCAGGGUAUAGACCCGAAACCCGGUGAUCUAGCCAUGGGCAGGUUGAAGGUUGGGUAACACUAACUGGAGGACCGAACCGACUAAUGUUGAAAAAUUAGCGGAUGACUUGUGGCUGGGGGUGAAAGGCCAAUCAAACCGGGAGAUAGCUGGUUCUCCCCGAAAGCUAUUUAGGUAGCGCCUCGUGAAUUCAUCUCCGGGGGUAGAGCACUGUUUCGGCAAGGGGGUCAUCCCGACUUACCAACCCGAUGCAAACUGCGAAUACCGGAGAAUGUUAUCACGGGAGACACACGGCGGGUGCUAACGUCCGUCGUGAAGAGGGAAACAACCCAGACCGCCAGCUAAGGUCCCAAAGUCAUGGUUAAGUGGGAAACGAUGUGGGAAGGCCCAGACAGCCAGGAUGUUGGCUUAGAAGCAGCCAUCAUUUAAAGAAAGCGUAAUAGCUCACUGGUCGAGUCGGCCUGCGCGGAAGAUGUAACGGGGCUAAACCAUGCACCGAAGCUGCGGCAGCGACACUAUGUGUUGUUGGGUAGGGGAGCGUUCUGUAAGCCUGUGAAGGUGUGCUGUGAGGCAUGCUGGAGGUAUCAGAAGUGCGAAUGCUGACAUAAGUAACGAUAAAGCGGGUGAAAAGCCCGCUCGCCGGAAGACCAAGGGUUCCUGUCCAACGUUAAUCGGGGCAGGGUGAGUCGACCCCUAAGGCGAGGCCGAAAGGCGUAGUCGAUGGGAAACAGGUUAAUAUUCCUGUACUUGGUGUUACUGCGAAGGGGGGACGGAGAAGGCUAUGUUGGCCGGGCGACGGUUGUCCCGGUUUAAGCGUGUAGGCUGGUUUUCCAGGCAAAUCCGGAAAAUCAAGGCUGAGGCGUGAUGACGAGGCACUACGGUGCUGAAGCAACAAAUGCCCUGCUUCCAGGAAAAG
This 999-nucleotide ribosomal RNA is filed under the name Escherichia coli. RNAcentral's name for it is "partial 23S ribosomal RNA". It matches the Rfam family "Bacterial large subunit ribosomal RNA", at positions 614 to 1617 of the family's 2925-position model. The record is from RNAcentral. Lineage: Bacteria; Pseudomonadati; Pseudomonadota; Gammaproteobacteria; Enterobacterales; Enterobacteriaceae. RNAcentral also lists the same sequence under 1 other name.